This 293-nucleotide ribosomal RNA is filed under the name uncultured bacterium. RNAcentral's name for it is "partial 16S ribosomal RNA". It matches the Rfam family "Archaeal small subunit ribosomal RNA", at positions 455 to 747 of the family's 1478-position model. The record is from RNAcentral.
GUGCCAGCCGCCGCGGUAAUACCGGCAGCCCGAGUGAUGGCCGAUAUUAUUAGGCCUAAAGCGUCCGUAGCUGGCCGAACAAGUCCGUCGGGAAAUCCACUUGCUCAACAGGUGGGCGCCCGGUGGAAACUGUGCGGCUUGGGACCGGAAGGCUCGACGGGUACGUCCGGGGUAGGAGUGAAAUCCCGUAAUCCUGGACGGACCACCGAUGGCGAAAGCACUUCGAGAAAACGGAUCCGACAGUGAGGGACGAAAGCCAGGGUCUCCAACCGGAUUAGAAACCCGGGUAGUCC